GUCUAUAGCCAUGUCACCCUGAACAAGCCGGAUGUCUGAUCUUGGAAGCUAAACAGGGUUGGGCCUGGUUAGUACUUGGAUGGGAGACCACCUAGGAAGACCAGGUGCUGUAGGCA
Molecule: non-coding RNA, 116 nt
Organism: Pteropus alecto (black flying fox)
Lineage: Eukaryota; Metazoa; Chordata; Mammalia; Chiroptera; Pteropodidae
Source: Rfam